RNAcentral lists this ribosomal RNA (1298 nucleotides) under Apilactobacillus kunkeei. RNAcentral's name for it is "bacterial SSU rRNA". It matches the Rfam family "Bacterial small subunit ribosomal RNA", at positions 131 to 1414 of the family's 1533-position model. The record is from RNAcentral. Lineage: Bacteria; Bacillati; Bacillota; Bacilli; Lactobacillales; Lactobacillaceae.
CCGAAGCGGGGGAUAACAUUUGGAAACAAGUGCUAAUACCGCAUAAUUAGUUGGAACCGCAUGGUUCCAACUUGAAAGAUGGCUCUGCUAUCACUUUGGGAUGGACCCGCGCCGUAUUAGUUAGUUGGUGAGAUAAAAGCCCACCAAGACGAUGAUACGUAGCCGACCUGAGAGGGUAAUCGGCCACAUUGGGACUGAGACACGGCCCAGACUCCUACGGGAGGCAGCAGUAGGGAAUCUUCCACAAUGGACGAAAGUCUGAUGGAGCAACGCCGCGUGAGUGAUGAAGGUUUUCGGAUCGUAAAACUCUGUUGUUAAAGAAGAACAAGUGUUAGAGUAACUGUUAACACUUUGACGGUAUUUAACCAGAAAGCCACGGCUAACUACGUGCCAGCAGCCGCGGUAAUACGUAGGUGGCAAGCGUUGUCCGGAUUUAUUGGGCGUAAAGCGAGCGCAGGCGGUUUUGUAAGUCUGCUGUGAAAGCCCUCAGCUCAACUGAGGAAGUGCAGUGGAAACUACAAAACUUGAGUACAGAAGAGGAAAGUGGAACUCCAUGUGUAGCGGUGAAAUGCGUAGAUAUAUGGAAGAACACCAGUGGCGAAGGCGGCUUUCUGGUCUGUUACUGACGCUGAGGCUCGAAAAGCAUGGGUAGCGAAACAGGAUUAGAUACCCUGGUAGUCCAUGCCGUAAACGAUGAAUACUAGGUGUUGGAGGGUUUCCGCCCUUCAGUGCCGCAGCUAACGCAUUAAGUAUUCCGCCUGGGGAGUACGACCGCAAGGUUGAAACUCAAAGGAAUUGACGGGGGCCCGCACAAGUGGUGGAGCAUGUGGUUUAAUUCGAUGCUACGCGAAGAACCUUACCAGCUCUUGACAUCUUCUGCCAACCCAAGAGAUUGGGCGUUCCCUUCGGGGACAGAAUGACAGGUGGUGCAUGGUUGUCGUCAGCUCGUGUCGUGAGAUGUUGGGUUAAGUCCCGCAACGAGCGCAACCCUUAUUAUUAGUUGCCAGCAUUUAGUUGGGCACUCUAGUGAGACUGCCGGUGAUAAACCGGAGGAAGGUGGGGACGACGUCAAAUCAUCAUGCCCCUUAUGAGCUGGGCUACACACGUGCUACAAUGGAUGGUACAACGAGUCGCGAAACCGCGAGGUCAAGCUAAUCUCUUAAAGCCAUUCUCAGUUCGGAUUGCAGGCUGCAACUCGCCUGCAUGAAGUUGGAAUCACUAGUAAUCGUGGAUCAGCAUGCCACGGUGAAUACGUUCCCGGGCCUUGUACACACCGCCCGUCACACCAUGAGAGUUUG